CCUACGGGAGGCAGCAGUGGGGGAUAUUGGACAAUGGGGGGAACCCUGAUCCAGCGACGCCGCGUGAGUGAAGAAGUAUUUCGGUAUGUAAAGCUCUGUCAGCAGGGAAGAAAGAAAUGACGGUACCUGACCAAGAAGCCCAGGCUAACUACGUGCCAGCAACCGCGGUAAUACGGAGGGGGCAAGCGUUAUCCGGAAUUACUGGGGGUAAAGGGAGCGUAAACGGUUAAGUAAGCCUGGUGUGAAAGGGCGGGGCCCAACCCCGGGACUGCUCUGGAAACUAUUCAACUUGAGUGCAGGAGAGGUAAGCGGAAUUCCUGGUGUAGCGGUGAAAUGCGUAGAUAUUAGGAGGAACACCAGUGGCGAAGGCGGCUUACUGGACUGUAACUGACGUUGAGGCUCGAAAGCGUGGGGAGCAAACAGGAUUAGAUACCCUAGUAGUC
Molecule: ribosomal RNA, 443 nt
Filed under: uncultured bacterium
Lineage: Bacteria
Description: partial 16S ribosomal RNA
Rfam family: Bacterial small subunit ribosomal RNA
Source: RNAcentral